CACCUCCUCCACCUCCCCCAAUGUUUGGAGUACCACCUCCACCUCCCCCAAUGUUUGGAGCACCACCUCCACCUCCACCUCCUGGUGGUCGAGGACCACCUCCUCCACCUCCCCCAAUGUUUGGAGCACCACCUCCACCUCCACCUCCUGGUGGUAGAGGACCGCCCCCUCCACCUCCUCCUGGUGGCGGAGGUCCUCCUCCUCCACCUCCCCCAGGUGUUCCUGGUGCUCCUAGACCUCCGGGGGGUGGACCUCCACCACCUCCACCAAAAGGUGGAAAUGUUGGAGUUGAUCCAAGAGGGAGGGGACGAGGGUAUGCACGCCCUACAGGGGUUGCACCCAAACGAUCCUCUUUGAAGCCUUUACAUUGGAGCAAGGUUACAAGGGCACU
RNAcentral lists this long non-coding RNA (391 nucleotides) under Phaseolus vulgaris (common bean). RNAcentral describes it as "long non-coding RNA (PVUL_LNC004142)". Lineage: Eukaryota; Viridiplantae; Streptophyta; Magnoliopsida; Fabales; Fabaceae. The record is from RNAcentral.